AGCUCCAAUAGCGUAUAUUAAAGUUGCUGCAGUUAAAAAGCUCGUAGUUGGAUUUGUGGGAUGGCCGUCCGGCGGGGGGCCAUUUAUUGGUCCCGUUUGUCCUGGUUUUCGGCCUUCCCUUUCUCGGGUCUAGCGUAUUGGCUGGCAUUAGGUUGUCGGCCGCUUCGCGCCCGUCGUUUACUGUGAAAAAAUUAGAGUGUUCAAAGCAGGCUUAGGCCGUUGGAUACAUUAGCAUGGAAUAAUGAGAUAGGGCCACCGCGGUCUAUUUUGUUGGUUUGCACGUUGUGGUAAUGAUUAACAGGAACGGUUGGGGGUAUUCGUAUUCAAUUGUCAGAGGUGAAAUUCUUGGAUUUAUUAAAGACGAACCAGUGCGAAAGCAUUUGCCAAGGAUGUUUUCAUU
Molecule: ribosomal RNA, 400 nt
Filed under: phytoplankton environmental sample
Lineage: Eukaryota
Description: partial small subunit ribosomal RNA
Rfam family: Eukaryotic small subunit ribosomal RNA
Source: RNAcentral